RNAcentral lists this ribosomal RNA (1761 nucleotides) under Escherichia coli. RNAcentral's name for it is "partial 23S ribosomal RNA". It matches the Rfam family "Bacterial large subunit ribosomal RNA", at positions 998 to 2742 of the family's 2925-position model. The record is from RNAcentral. Lineage: Bacteria; Pseudomonadati; Pseudomonadota; Gammaproteobacteria; Enterobacterales; Enterobacteriaceae.
CUAACGUCCGUCGUGAAGAGGGAAACAACCCAGACCGCCAGCUAAGGUCCCAAAGUCAUGGUUAAGUGGGAAACGAUGUGGGAAGGCCCAGACAGCCAGGAUGUUGGCUUAGAAGCAGCCAUCAUUUAAAGAAAGCGUAAUAGCUCACUGGUCGAGUCGGCCUGCGCGGAAGAUGUAACGGGGCUAAACCAUGCACCGAAGCUGCGGCAGCGACACUAUGUGUUGUUGGGUAGGGGAGCGUUCUGUAAGCCUGUGAAGGUGUGCUGUGAGGCAUGCUGGAGGUAUCAGAAGUGCGAAUGCUGACAUAAGUAACGAUAAAGCGGGUGAAAAGCCCGCUCGCCGGAAGACCAAGGGUUCCUGUCCAACGUUAAUCGGGGCAGGGUGAGUCGACCCCUAAGGCGAGGCCGAAAGGCGUAGUCGAUGGGAAACAGGUUAAUAUUCCUGUACUUGGUGUUACUGCGAAGGGGGGACGGAGAAGGCUAUGUUGGCCGGGCGACGGUUGUCCCGGUUUAAGCGUGUAGGCUGAUUUUCCAGGCAAAUCCGGAAAAUCAAGGCUGAGGCGUGAUGACGAGGCACUACGGUGCUGAAGCAACAAAUGCCCUGCUUCCAGGAAAAGCCUCUAAGCAUCAGGUAACAUCAAAUCGUACCCCAAACCGACACAGGUGGUCAGGUAGAGAAUACCAAGGCGCUUGAGAGAACUCGGGUGAAGGAACUAGGCAAAAUGGUGCCGUAACUUCGGGAGAAGGCACGCUGAUAUGUAGGUGAAGCGACUUGCUCGUGGAGCUGAAAUCAGUCGAAGAUACCAGCUGGCUGCAACUGUUUAUUAAAAACACAGCACUGUGCAAACACGAAAGUGGACGUAUACGGUGUGACGCCUGCCCGGUGCCGGAAGGUUAAUUGAUGGGGUUAGCGGUAACGCGAAGCUCUUGAUCGAAGCCCCGGUAAACGGCGGCCGUAACUAUAACGGUCCUAAGGUAGCGAAAUUCCUUGUCGGGUAAGUUCCGACCUGCACGAAUGGCGUAAUGAUGGCCAGGCUGUCUCCACCCGAGACUCAGUGAAAUUGAACUCGCUGUGAAGAUGCAGUGUACCCGCGGCAAGACGGAAAGACCCCGUGAACCUUUACUAUAGCUUGACACUGAACAUUGAGCCUUGAUGUGUAGGAUAGGUGGGAGGCUUUGAAGUGUGGACGCCAGUCUGCAUGGAGCCGACCUUGAAAUACCACCCUUUAAUGUUUGAUGUUCUAACGUUGGCCCGUUAUCCGGGUUGCGGACAGUGUCUGGUGGGUAGUUUGACUGGGGCGGUCUCCUCCUAAAGAGUAACGGAGGAGCACGAAGGUUGGCUAAUCCUGGUCGGACAUCAGGAGGUUAGUGCAAUGGCAUAAGCCAGCUUGACUGCGAGCGUGACGGCGCGAGCAGGUGCGAAAGCAGGUCAUAGUGAUCCGGUGGUUCUGAAUGGAAGGGCCAUCGCUCAACGGAUAAAAGGUACUCCGGGGAUAACAGGCUGAUACCGCCCAAGAGUUCAUAUCGACGGCGGUGUUUGGCACCUCGAUGUCGGCUCAUCACAUCCUGGGGCUGAAGUAGGUCCCAAGGGUAUGGCUGUUCGCCAUUUAAAGUGGUACGCGAGCUGGGUUUAGAACGUCGUGAGACAGUUCGGUCCCUAUCUGCCGUGGGCGCUGGAGAACUGAGGGGGGCUGCUCCUAGUACGAGAGGACCGGAGUGGACGCAUCACUGGUGUUCGGGUUGUCAUGCCAAUGGCACUGCC